This 209-nucleotide ribosomal RNA is filed under the name uncultured bacterium. RNAcentral's name for it is "partial 16S ribosomal RNA". It matches the Rfam family "Bacterial small subunit ribosomal RNA", at positions 521 to 729 of the family's 1533-position model. The record is from RNAcentral.
UAAUACGGAGGGUGCGAACGUUAAUCGGAAUCACUGGGCGUAAAGCGCGCGUAGGCGGUUUGUUAAGUGGGAUGUGAAAUCCCCGGGCUUAACCUGGGAAUUGCAUUUCAAACUGGCCGACUAGAGUACGGUAGAGGGAGGUAGAAUUUCCUGUGUAGCGGAGAAAUGCGUAGAUAUAGGAAGGAAUACCAGUGGCGAAGGCGGCCUCC